UUAUUACCUCCCUGCCCUUUGGAACACCGCCCGUCCCUGCCCGGGACUGAACCAUUUCCAGAAAACCGGGGAUUGGUGGGCUGACCGGUCUCGGGGCCUCUAAUCCAUGAAAACCGGGUUAAUCCCACUGGUUUGAACCGGGGAAAAGUCCUAACAAGGGAACUGUAGGUGAACCUGCUGCUGGAUCAUUA
Molecule: ribosomal RNA, 191 nt
Filed under: Rotylenchulus reniformis
Lineage: Eukaryota; Metazoa; Nematoda; Chromadorea; Rhabditida; Hoplolaimidae
Description: partial 18S ribosomal RNA
Rfam family: Eukaryotic small subunit ribosomal RNA
Source: RNAcentral